UGGUGGAGUGAUUUGUCUGCUUAAUUGCGAUAACGAACGAGACCUUAACCUGCUAAAUAGUCAGGCCAGCUUUGGCUGGUCGCAGGCUUCUUAGAGGGACUAUCGGCUUCAAGCCGAUGGAAGUUUGAGGCAAUAACA
RNAcentral lists this ribosomal RNA (138 nucleotides) under uncultured eukaryote. RNAcentral describes it as "partial 18S ribosomal RNA". It matches the Rfam family "Eukaryotic small subunit ribosomal RNA", at positions 1299 to 1458 of the family's 1831-position model. The record is from RNAcentral.